Molecule: ribosomal RNA, 481 nt
Filed under: uncultured Oscillospiraceae bacterium
Lineage: Bacteria; Bacillati; Bacillota; Clostridia; Eubacteriales; Oscillospiraceae
Description: partial 16S ribosomal RNA
Source: RNAcentral
CACGUAGUUAGCCGGAGCUUUCUUGCAGGGUACCGUCAUUUUCGUCCCCUGCGACAGAACUUUACAACCCGAAGGCCGUCUUCAUUCACGCGGCAUCGCUGCAUCAGGGUUUCCCCCAUUGUGCAAUAUCCCCACUGCUGCCUCCCGUAGGAGUCUGGGCCGUGUCUCAGUCCCAAUGUGGCCGUUCAACCUCUCAGUCCGGCUACCGAUUGUCGGUUUGGUGGGCCGUUACCCCGCCAACUGCCUAAUCGGACGCGAGCCCAUCUUUCAGCGGAUUGCUCCUUUGAUAUCAGUGCCAUGCGACUCCGAUAUUUAUGCGGUAUUAGCGUUCGUUUCCAAACGUUAUCCCCCUCUGAAAGGCAGGUUGCUCACGUGUUACUCACCCGUCCGCCACUAAGUUCAGAUGCAAGCAUCUUCACUCCGUUCGACUUGCAUGUGUUAGGCGUGCCGCCAGCGUCGUCCUGAGCCAGGAUCAAACUCU